This 253-nucleotide ribosomal RNA is filed under the name uncultured bacterium. RNAcentral's name for it is "partial 16S ribosomal RNA". It matches the Rfam family "Bacterial small subunit ribosomal RNA", at positions 524 to 776 of the family's 1533-position model. The record is from RNAcentral.
UACGUAGGGGGCAAGCGUUGUCCGGAUUUAUUGGGCGUAAAGAGCGUGUAGGCGGCCUGAAAGGUCAGCUGUGAAGACUCGAGGCUCAACCUCGAGACGUCGGUUGAAACCAUCUGGCUAGAGUCCGGAAGAGGAGUGUGGAAUUCCCGGUGUAGCGGUGAAAUGCGCAGAUAUCAGGAAGAACACCAAUGGCGAAAGCAGCUCUCUGGGACGGUACUGACGCUGAGACGCGAAAGCGUGGGGAGCGAACAGG